GAUGAACGCUGGCGGCGUGCCUAAUACAUGCAAGUCGAGCGAACAGACGAGGAGCUUGCUCCUUCGACGUUAGCGGCGGACGGGUGAGUAACACGUAGGUAACCUACCUAUAAGACUGGGAUAACUUCGGGAAACCGGAGCUAAUACCGGAUAAUAUUUCGAACCGCAUGGUUCGAUAGUGAAAGAUGGCUUUGCUAUCACUUAUAGAUGGACCUGCGCCGUAUUAGCUAGUUGUUAAGUUAACGGCUUACCAAGGCAACGAUACGUAGCCGACCUGAGAGGGUGAUCGGCCACACUGGAACUGAGACACGGUCCAGACUCCUACGGGAGGCAGCAGUAGGGAAUCUUCCGCAAUGGGCGAAAGCCUGACGGAGCAACGCCGCGUGAGUGAUGGAGGUCUUCGGAUCGUAAAACUCUGUUAUUAGGGAAGAACAAACGUGUAAGUAACUGUGCACGUCUUGACGGUACCUAAUCAGAAAGCCACGGCUAACUACGUG
This 497-nucleotide ribosomal RNA is filed under the name uncultured bacterium. Its description in RNAcentral is "partial 16S ribosomal RNA". It matches the Rfam family "Bacterial small subunit ribosomal RNA", at positions 28 to 507 of the family's 1533-position model. The record is from RNAcentral.